ACACCAAGAUUUGUUGACUUUUUUUUUUUUUCUCUCUAUUAUUACGCGAGUAUAUAAUCUUCCAGAAAAAUAGGAAGACUCAUUCAUUGGAGCGUAGAAUUUUGCGUGUUUGAAUCUUUGAUUUUCAAUUAUAUUCAAUUUCGUCAUAGCGUGCGCGGUGCGCGGGUAUUAAAACGGUAAAAAUUUUAGGCUUCAACAAUUUUCCAGGGUCUUCAUCGUAAUUACGCAUGAAUAGUUGACAGUGUGAGAAACCUAUAAUUUCUACGUUUAUAAUGGAUAAAUAUGAAGUUUUUAACUGGUUUGGAUAUGUAAUUAAGACGGUUUGAUCGUCUCGAAGAUCUAUUUUCGGAAAAUUUCACUCAAAUCUGGCAGCGGCCGAUUCGUCCGAGCGAUUUUACACGUUGAAACCUAAAAACGCUAGUUACUAUCGACGGAUGGAUUUUUACCUGGGGUCUCGCAGCCAGGUGUACAAGCCAAUAUUCAGCAUCACCGGGAACCUUAGCGGUGCAUUUCAGCUCGUCUUGACUUGAUCCCAGGAAGUAGCCUCUCUGAAUAUUCUUCAGAGCCCACCUACCGUUUCCUGAAAUGAUGAGACAAAAGAGAAAAAAAAAUUAGAUCACAAGACGGUUGCCAAUCAAUGUGCACAUCAGGAUCAGGCCACACUAACGGAUCGAUGGAAUAUGUUGCCGAUUAUGUAUAUGCAUACGAGUUCCAUCGUGAGAUUUAAUAAAGUUUCAUUCACGUAAUAA
Athalia rosae (coleseed sawfly) is the source of this 749-nucleotide long non-coding RNA. RefSeq lists it as uncharacterized. The transcript has 2 exons. The record is from RefSeq and is a predicted model, not a curated record. NCBI's taxonomy places the organism in Eukaryota, Metazoa, Arthropoda, Insecta, Hymenoptera, Athaliidae.